UAUAAAUGCACCGGCUCUAUCUGCAAACAUACAGAGACAGCAAUUUCUUUCAGUUAGCAGUCGAUCAAGUGGCCCAACGUGAAAGUACUGAUAUGAAGCUCACGUUGCUUGUCCGGGAGACAGGGGGAAAGAGGCAACAGGUGAGCUUAAAUAUGGUGCAUGCAUAGCAGCAUGUAAUGUGGAAAACAAAAAUGAACACAAAAAUGCAAGAUUAACACAAAAUGAAAGUGUGCUUUUAAGAAAUAACUACAAAGAGCUUCAUAUAAAAGAGAGCAGUCUCUCUCAGGCUCCUUCAGUGUUCAUUUCGCUCUUGUGAAGGGAUGCUGGAGAACCUAGACCAGUUUGUCUGUUCACUUGUCUGUUCAUCUGGCAUUCAAUGAGAUAAAGAUUUAUGGUCCCAGUGACUGAAAAACAAUAGUCCCUAAAGUAAAACCAAAGGCACAUUUUGAAGGUUGUCAUGGUCCUGGGCCAUGUGGGCCCAGCAUUCUUAGUUUUCAUGUAUUUUUGUAUUUUGUUCUUUAUUUAGGCCAUGCUUCCUGGGUUGAUCUGUUACGUUGUUCCUUAUGUGUUUUCCCUUCGUGACUCUUACCCCCUGUGUGCCCCUCUGUGUAUUUAUGAGCCCUCGUCUCCCUUUGUGGUUGUUUCAUGUUUCCCCAGCCCGUUAUGUCUGUGUUUUUCCCCGUGCUCUCUCUCCUCCUGUCUGAACCUCUGUGCCUGUACAUGUCAUGUUCAGUUCACCCAGCCCUGUCUCGUUAUGAUUAUCAGUGUCACCUGUGUUCCCCGUGUGUGCCCACUUUCCUCGUUUACCCUCUGUGUAUUUCUGUCUGAGUCUCCCUCUGUUCGGUGUCGUGUUCUCCCUCAUGCUGUGUGUGAUUCCCCUGUGUUCCUUGGUGAGCUUUAUGUUAGUUUUUCCCAGUUUAGUUUUGUAUUGUUUCUCGUGGCCAGCAAUAAAGCUGUGUUUUUGAGUUCACCCCCGUGUCGUACUACGGUGUACAUUUUAGGACAUCGUCAGGUAUCAGACAAAAAAUUGUCAGGUGUCAGUUGUCAAAAAAAAAAGUUGUCAGGUAUCAGAAAAAAAAUUGUCAGGUGUCAGAAAAAAAAUUGUCAGGUGUCAGUUGUCAAAAAAAAAAAAAGUCAGGUAUCAGAAAAAAAAUUGUCAGGUGUCAGAAAAAAAGUUGUCAGGUGUCAGAAAAAAAGUUGUCAGGUGUCAGACAAAAAAUUGUCAGGUGUCAGUUGUCAAAAAAAAAAAAGUCAGGUAUCAGAAAAAAAAUUGUCAGGUGUCAGAAAAAAAGUUGUCAGGUGUCAGAAAAAAAGUUGUCAGGUGUCAGAAAAAAAAUUGUCAGGUGUCAGUUGUCCAAAAAAAAAAAAGUCAGGUGUCAGAAAAAAAAUUGUCAGGUGUCAGAAAAAAAGUUGUCAGGUGUCAGAAAAAAAGUUGUCAGGUGUCAGACAAAAAAUUGUCAGGUGUCAGUUGUCAAAAAAAAAAAAGUCAGGUAUCAGAAAAGAAAUUGUCAGGUGUCAGAAAAAAAGUUGUCAGGUGUCAGAAAAAAAGUUGUCAGGUGUCAGACAAAAAAGUUGUCAGGUGUCAGAAAAAAAAUUGUCAGGUAUCAGAACACAAGGUACCAGAGAGAAAAUCUUCCUGCAGGUGGCGCUGUUGUCAUGUCCCACCCGAAUUGAUUUCCAAAUACGUCAUCAACGUGUGACCGUGGGAGAGCGUAAGGUCAUUGACCUCACCGGAGUUUUACCGUGGUUCAGGCUCCUAACGACACAAGGUAAGUUUAACUUUUUCUCCCUUUUGUUCAUAUUUUUGCCACAGUUGUGUUAUAUUAAGUUGCAGUUAUGUUGUGAAAGUUACAUAUCAGAGACGGAAAGCCAGUUUUGUACGAAACCAAAUCAGUACUAUUUUUGUCUGGCUAAUUCAUUCUAGCUAGCGACAGUGGUGAAACGUGAUUCAAAUUUAAACUGUUCAGUAAUUGUUUUGUAUACAUUUCAGCAAAUGGACAAGCUGAAAGCUUACGAGCAGCCUGCAUCCUUUCUGUCGCUCUUUUUCUUUAUUUCUCUUUUCUAUAUUGCUACUGUCGGGAUAUUUUUUGAUCCCGAUUUUUUUUUCUGUUAUUGUUUUUAGACUUUGCUGCAAUAUGUCAUCUGACGAUGAUGAAAGGAGUAUCCGACUCUGGCUGGUUCCCAUGACUGUACCAAAAAUACUUUUUUUUUUAUUAAAAAAAGAGCAUUAAAAAUAAAUGACUAAAGUACAACUUAUUUAUUAACUACUGUUCACCUAUUUAAUAUCAAAGAAGUGUAUUUUUUGCUACACGUUUUAUUUGUGGGCACUGAAUUGACGAUGCUUUUAGUGUAAUUGCCACAUAAAAAGAUUUAGUACUUUACUGGUUAAUUACUUAUGUUCAGUGUAAGAGGUGGGUGAUCAAUUAGACUGUUGUUGUUACACUUAACCUUUCAAGAUAUGAUGAUAAUAACAUUGUUCAACAAAGGCUUAAAACAAAAGGAAAUCAGCUGUGCACUGAAUUCAUAUGGGCAUAAAAUAAGUGAGAGGCAUCUGAGACGAGUUUUAAAACUUCUAGGGUUGAAGCGAAGAUGCCCCCAACGACCUUUUACUGAAAUCCACAAAGCUGUGGAGAGUGAGAUGAAACAGUGGUCUCCUGAACAAGGAAUCAGGGCAAUGGUAAAGCGG
Molecule: long non-coding RNA, 2686 nt
Organism: Astatotilapia calliptera (eastern happy)
Lineage: Eukaryota; Metazoa; Chordata; Actinopteri; Cichliformes; Cichlidae
Source: Ensembl